UUCCAAAUAUGGUUAGGGUCAAUUGUAUUUGUACAAUUCGAUUAUAUAAUUUUUAUGAAAGAGGUCACUCUGUUUAUAUCGGCCAUUCGAUUAUAUAAUUUUUAUGAAAGAGGUCACUCUGUUUAUAUCGGCCACGUAAACAAUCGUGUAUUGGAAAUUUGAAGUAGAUAAACAUAUUAAUUAAAUGGACAGAGAAAUUGAUUAUUAGCGCUAUAAAAGUUAAUGAUUAAUUCUAACAACAUAUGUGUCCUGAAUUAGUGUCAAAAUACUGUCACAAUAGAUCUUUCUCCUUUAGAAAAUCUUGUCCCAAGAUUUAAAUUAAUUAGAAAAAAAAAAAUUAAUAAUUUUAUAAGAUUUAGAGCAACUUAAAAUAUCAUAAUUUACUAAAUUGAUUAUUGGAUUUAUAACUUUUAAUUAUUAAUUUCAGUAAAUAAUUAAUAUCCAUAUGAAACUUCAAAAUAACAAAGUAGACAAUUAAGUUAAAUAUAAAGCAAGAAUAAGGAAUGAACUUUGUUUUAACAUUUUUCUAUUUUUUUAUUUUUUUCAUUUUUUUGAGAGUUUAUUUCUUUUAAUCACAUUUUUUAUUGUUGGUUUUAUUUAUGAAGUGAACUUUCCACAAUAGUUUUAAAUGUUAUUAUUAUUAUUUAUUUAUUACUAUUAUUCUUCUAUUUGCUCAAUUUACAAUUGGACAUUUAUUUAAAAAUUAUGAAAUUUAUGGUACAAUAAUUAUAUACGCCUAAAGGUUUCAACAAAAUGUUGUAAUUCAAAAUGAAUUAUGAUUAUGCAGAAUAAACUUUUAACAGAAUUUGAUUAAGCAUCUUUUUAGUCUCUAAGUUACUGUUAAUCGUAUGCAUGGCGUUCCUACCUGCGAGGUAACCCAUUUUAUUUGUGGCGCUCCUUCUUUCAGGUAGCCCAUUUUUAUGCUUAUAUAUAUGUGGCGCUCCUACUUUGAGGUAGCCCAAUCUCAAUAUUAAGUUAAUAUCUACACUAUUUUUAUGACUAUAUUGUACGAUUUUCUUUACAGCAAAUGGCAACAGGACUUCCUACCAUGUUCCAUGUAGAUUAAUUUUACAAGGGGAUUCACUUUAUGUGUCCUUUAAAUAAAAUUCAAUCUAAUCUUAGUAAAAAACUAUAUGCAAAUAAUAUUCUGAAAAGUUAUUCAAUGAAAUGAAAAUUUAAAUGAAUACAUAAUUUACAACAUUUUAUCGAGCAAAUUUGCUAACUUAAUUAUCAAUGUUUUAGUCAUUUCAAUUAAAAAUUUACAGAUAUGAAACACAAUGUAGUUUAUGAAAAUAAAAAUGAAGAUUUAGUUUCAUCGCUGGAAAUCUUAAAAUCAAAAUUAAAUUUCUUAUUUAUCAUUUUGGAAUUACUUACAGUUUCAUGAAAAUACAUAUUUUAAACAAUACACAAUAAUAUAACUUUACAAUUGUUAUUGUCACUGAUGUUAAUAAAUGUUCUAACAUAGUUCUGCUUACUGUAUCCUUUUUGUUGAUUUUCUAAAUGUCACAAAUGAAAUAUUUUGUAUAUAUUAUGGAAUCCAAAAGUUUGAAAGUUACGAAAAUUAUGUCCAACUGCAAAUAGUUAAUGUUCGAAUUGUCCUUCUAGCAUGUUAUUUGGUCUGGAUGUGAUGAUAAACUUUGACUUUUAUAGAUGUCUGUAUAGAUGUCAGCUUUAAGGGUCGUCCACCAAUUAUUGUAAUGAGAAAUAGUUGAAUAUUCUGUUGUGGGGAAAACUAGCUUAUGUCUCUAAUGAAAUGAGACAUUGCGGCUCUGCUACCGUUGUUGAAAGCAGGCCAGCUGUUCUGAUGUUGUAGAGACAGACCGGGAUCAACUGACACCUAUAAGAUUCAAAAUUCAAACUCUUUUAAUAAAAUAAAUAAAAACAAAAAUAAUACAAAACAGUUACAAUCACAAUAAAGUAAAACAAAUAUUGGCAAUUAUUUCUUUAAAAGAAAACAAUGGAUAUUUUAUUAAAACUCUAUUUAUGAAAACUAUUAAUUAUCUCUAUUUCAAUUUAACUUGUUUUAAAAUAUUUUACUUUAAAUCUUAAUAACUUUUAAUUAACAAUUCAAAACUCAUGACUUACCUAUAAGAUUCAAAAUUCAAACUCUGACGUCUCAAAGCAGAAUUUUGACUUAUAUAGCAAUCAUGAUAAAAUUAGAAAUUUCCAAAUAUGGUUAGGGUCAAUUGUAUUUGUACAAUUCGAUUAUAUAAUUUUUAUGAAAGAGGUCACUCUGUUUAUAUCGGCCAUUCGAUUAUAUAAUUUUUAUGAAAGAGGUCACUCUGUUUAUAUCGGCCACGUAAACAAUCGUGUAUUGGAAAUUUGAAGUAGAUAAACAUAUUAAUUAAAUGGACAGAGAAAUUGAUUAUUAGCGCUAUAAAAGUUAAUGAUUAAUUCUAACAACAUAUGUGUCCUAAAUUAGUGUCAAAAU
RNAcentral lists this long non-coding RNA (2431 nucleotides) under Mytilus galloprovincialis (Mediterranean mussel). Lineage: Eukaryota; Metazoa; Mollusca; Bivalvia; Mytilida; Mytilidae. The record is from RNAcentral.